RNAcentral lists this transfer RNA (71 nucleotides) under Bifidobacterium longum. It matches the Rfam family "tRNA". From Rfam's summary of the family: Transfer RNA (tRNA) molecules are approximately 80 nucleotides in length. Their secondary structure includes four short double-helical elements and three loops (D, anti-codon, and T loops). Lineage: Bacteria; Bacillati; Actinomycetota; Actinomycetes; Bifidobacteriales; Bifidobacteriaceae. RNAcentral also lists the same sequence under 1 other name. The record is from RNAcentral.
GCAAUUAGCUCAGUUGGUUAGAGCGCCACCUUUACACGGUGGAUGUCGGGGGUUCGAGUCCCUCAUUGCCC